Molecule: ribosomal RNA, 460 nt
Filed under: uncultured bacterium
Lineage: Bacteria
Description: partial 16S ribosomal RNA
Rfam family: Bacterial small subunit ribosomal RNA
Source: RNAcentral
CCUACGGGUGGCAGCAGUGAGGAAUAUUGGUCAAUGGGCGGAAGCCUGAACCAGCCAAGUCGCGUGAGGGAAUAAGGCCCUCCGGGUCGUAAACCCCUUUUGCCGGGGAGCAAGGGCGGGGACGUGUCCCGGCCCGGCGAGUUCCCGGCGAAAAAGCAUCGGCUAACUCCGUGCCAGCAGCCGCGGUAAUACGGAGGAUGCGAGCGUUAUCCGGAUUUAUGGGGUUUAAGGGGUGCGUAGGCGGGCUUGUAAGUCAGCGGGAAAAGUUCGGGGCUCAACCCCGUCCUGCCGUGGAAACUGGGGGGCUUGAGUGGGCGAGAGGAAGGCGGAAUGCGUAGUGUAGCGGUGAAAUGCAUAGAUAUCACGAAGAACCCCAGUUGCGAAGGCAGCCUUCCGGCGCCCUACUGACGCUGAGGCACGAAAGUGCGGGGAUCGAACAGGAUUAGAUACCCUUGUAGUC